UGCAAAUUUAGGUGCUCACUGCUCAGAUCACUAAUGAAGCAAUGAAUGGAUGAUUAAUUGAUUGAUUGAUGAUAAUAAUGAUGAUGCACGUUCAAUAAUCUCCCUCGUCUAUGGAGAAUGAAUUCAUCGAACUUUACCACUGGAUAUUCGAUAUCAUGGACUCAAAUUUGCAAACAUUCAUCGCUCAGAAUGCUUCUCUAUCUAAACACUUAUUCAGGAAUGGAAUACAUACAGGAUGAACCUAUGAUGAAAGCACCGUACAACGAACCAUAAGGAAUAUACACGUUCGCUAGGCAUCUUACACUUAUUCGUGAAUCAACGAAGCAUCUCUAAUUUGAAGAUCCGAAAUGAGCAAAAUGUUCUCAUUUCCUUCGCACAUGUCGACUGUAAAGUGUAAAGUGUACCGAAGCAAGCAUAUAGUAAUACGAGAGGAAUAAAAUUGCAAGUCGAUUUCACCCUAUAGGCUAUAUACAACGAACGAAAUUCUCCUGAUUCUACCAACGACCAUAUCCAGCGUAAACGUAAGCACGAGCAAGGUUACCGUAGGAUUUGACUAUACCUACGUCGAUUACAGCUGCAGCGUUUAUGCAUCGGAUGAUCGGAAGAUGGCUCGAUUAUGGGUGCGGGUACUUGAUAGUAUCCACGCGACUGAAUCGCUGUUUCAAUCAAAACACCUGCUGGAUAACAUUGUCUAUUAUACAUAAAUGUUUCCAUCGACGCCGCAGCACCGUGUUCUGCGGUCAUAUAUUUCGAUUUCUAUUGCUGGAUGAACGAACGUUGGACCGUACGAUGAUUUGAAGUUUAGACAAGUACGAUUUUGCAUAAAUGAAGGUACCGGUUACCAAGAGCUUCUUGCACCUUGCCAUUCCGGUGAUGAAUACUCUUCAAGGUACUUAUGACUGAGCAUAUCGUAGCAACAAAUGAAAUUAUCUAUACGAAGAAGGAUACAAAUCUGAAUUUCAUAUCUUCAUCUGCUAGAUCCGUCGCAUCUCCAAGUGUAUACAGUUUCGAUCAGGUUUUCCACUCGCUUAUCAGCAUCACAGUCCACAGACGAUCGGAAGAAGGCGUAUGAUGAUAAGGAAAUCUCUUCCAGGAUGCGGUGUGGUCCUUAUUUAGUUGCUCGUGUACCUACUCGUAUAAGUAUAAAUACACGUGCACGAGACACGUGCAAUUUUCAAGAGGAAAAACCACCACCAGCCACCGCGCGCACUACCAAAGGAUGUCCCGGAUGAUUUUCUGCCGGCUUAAUUCCAUAUUCCGGAACCCAGAACGUGUAAUUAUUGCAGCACGAGCGCCGUCCGACCGUGAACACUAACAUCAAAAAUGUGUAAGUUUUGUUCUUACCAUACGAUACGAUUUAGUAUACAAGAUGGUU
Molecule: long non-coding RNA, 1375 nt
Organism: Planococcus citri (citrus mealybug)
Lineage: Eukaryota; Metazoa; Arthropoda; Insecta; Hemiptera; Pseudococcidae
Exons: 9
Source: RefSeq, a predicted model, not a curated record